CACAUUAUUGAAAACAAGUUGCUAAAAGUAAACACGUAUACGGUUUUGCACUCCGAGCCCAAAGGGCAUCGCAUUGAAUUGAGACUAUAGAAGGCUUAAAAACGUGACAACAGUUUUGUUGUAUGGUCCAGUAUGCCCUUCGACUCAUCCCGAAGUUAAUCAGAACUCAAACUCGGCCCUUAACAAUAUCCGCGAGGCCAGCAUAUCAGCUCAGCUUCUGAGCUUCAGCAAACACUUUAAGCCGCCAAGAUAAAAACAUCGUUGAAGUGAAAGUAGAUGACUAUCCUGACCCCUUCGCUUAAGUAAUUCAGCACAAAAACGCCUUGCGUCAGAGUAGCAAACCUCCAAACAUCUUCUCCCAUGUUGGCUUCAUCAACACUUCUUACAGCGGAGCCUUGACGAGUUUGACUUCCAUCCCAGCAUCGACUUGUUCCUUAUUGCGACUGACCUCGAUAAGUUGCUCUCGAAUAAUGUGAACCUUAUGCCAGUAUGUGAUUGACGCCAUUUAACAACAGUUGCUGUUGAGAAUUCCCGGGUUUGAGGUGGCAACUUUGGCGUCAGAACUCUCUCCAUCUCUGUCUAUGGCCCGGUCAAAGCAGCAGCAGCAGCAAUAAGAACAACAAGUAGUAUCUGAGAGGUGCUCUUCUGGGAUACGGGGCUUCAUGUAUGUGCUUAAAGUGUCAUCCCAGAAUAGCCUGUGCAGAUUGCACAUACAUCAAGUCCUAUUAAAGUGUCAUCCCAGAUUAGCCUGUGCAGACUGCACAUACAUUAAGUCCUAUUAAAGUGUCAUCCCAGAUUAGCCUGUGCAGACUGCACAUACAUAAUGUCCUAUUAAAGUGUCAUCCCAGAUUAGCCUGUGCAGACUGCACAUACAUUAAGUCCUAUUUAAGUGACAUCCCAGAUUAGCCUGUGCAGACUGCACAUACAUCAAGUCCUAUUAAAGUGUCAUCCCAGAUUAGCCUGUGCAGACUGCACAUACAUUAAUUCCUAUUAAAGUGUCAUCCCAGAUUAGCCUGUGCAGACUGCACAUACAUUAAGUCCUAUUAAAGUGUCAUCCCAGAAUAUCCUGUGCAGACUGCGCAUACAUUAAGCCCUAUUAAAGUGUCAUCCCAGAUUAGCCUGUGCAGACUGCACAUACAUUAAUUUCCAUUAAAGUGUCAUCCCAGAUUAGCCUGUGCAGACUGCACAUACAUCAAGUCCUAUUAAAGUGUCAUCCCAGAUUAGCCUGUGCAGACUGCACAUACAUUAAGUCCUAUUAAAGUGUCAUCCCAGAUUAGCCUGUGCAGACUGCACAUACAUUAAGUCCUAUUAAAGUGUCAUCCCAGAAUAUCCUGUGCAGACUGCGCAUACAUUAAGCCCUAUUAAAGUGUCAUCCCAGAUUAGCCUGUGCAGACUGCACAUACAUUAAGCCCUAUUAAAGUGUCAUCCCAGAUUAGCCUGUGCAGACUGCGCAUACAUCAAGUCCUAUUUAUCUGAGAAUGAGGCUCAUAUAGUUCACUUAACGUCAGUCCUUUUUCUGGCUGAUUAAGGAAAAGUUCCUAGCAUAAAAUGUGAAUUCUUUGAUUUUAAAUUUAUCAAACUUGGUAAAUAAAUAGCAAAUAAAAGUAAAUCUGAUAUCAGUUUUAAUCAUAGGUCAGGGCAUAGUUGUGCCCAUUUUUCUGCUGAAAUUUAGCCCUUGAACAACAGUUUCUCCUUGCAAUAAAUAAAUCCACUUUAAUUAUUAAAUUCUAUUAAAUUUAAGUAAAACAAUUAUUUAAUGCCUCCAGCACAUUUUUAUAAAAUUAUUAUCUUCAUUUAUUUUCAAUAUUUAUUUUAAUUGCCAAAUUUUGUUUUAAGAGCUAGUUCCUAGCAAUCAUAGGUCGGUACCCUGCUGAAAAACAUGAUCUCUGGUCAGCUGGGCCCAGAUGCCCAGCAACACUUCCUAGCCCAGGACCUUGGGGCAAAUGCUCAACAUGUCCUAUCUGCAUGGUGAAGCCAGUCUAAUUCUUGGGCUCCAAACUCUCCUGCUGUGGGGCCGAGAUUACCUCAUCCAUAAGGGACACAUUUCUAGGAUGCGCCAAGGUCCUUUUAUCUGUUCACAGAGGCCUUAUACUCACAAGUUCAGGCCCAGAGAACGGCGUUCCCCAACUACAACACAACCAGUACGUCUCAAUAAAGGACACCCUUCCUGAAAACCUCGCUGAGUGCGACUGCGCCAUACGUGACCCUUAAGUGAAAUGAGAUUCCAGGCUGAAUGUCAAACCGGUACUACUCAGGUCUCCAGCAAUAGCCUCAGCCUUGGACGCAGGUUCAUGAUGCACCCGUGGCCUUACUUAUUUCUGAACAUCUCAAUCUCACAGCAAUUGAUGUGAAUUAAUGAUAAUAAGACUCCACAAACCACGUUUUGUAGAGGGUAUAUUGGAGUCAAUUUUCUGUUAGUUGUUUAGUCAAUGCGGCAUUUUUUGCAUAUAUUAUAAAAAGAUUUGUAUCAAAUCUAAAUUUCUCAAAGGAUUAAAUUGGAACUUAAAUUGUAUGAAACCAUUGAACAGUAAGUGAUAAGUGGUGAUUUUUUUUGCAUGCAAAGCCCCAUCGUUUCAUUGGCCAAAUCACUCUUUUACCCAGUAUUAUUUUACUUUCAGUAUCUCACCAUACAUGGGAAAUCAGAAGAUAUGAAACUUAUAUUCUAAUCAGGGUUUUAACUAACAUUUUGCCCACAUUUGCGCUGUAACCUAUAUGCAAUUCUGGGUUAUAACUAACAUUGUGUCCACAGUUGCGCAAAGUUGUUUGAAUAUUUUUGUUUAAAGAAAAGAAUAAAGCAUUCGUAUAACUUGUAAUCAAUAGUGUUCGAUGAAGGAACAAUCAUUUUGAAAAUGACCAAUACUCCAGAAUACAUGUAUAUUUGUCUUUUGACUGAUCUUGGUCAGUGUCUAGCAGUAUCCUUACGACCAAGCCACGUCGCCAAAGCAGCAGUCAAGUAAUUUGUCUUCCACGUUUGAGCUUCCUAUUUGCCACGGUCUGUUGCAAAGUCCACUCAACAUGGAUUGUUUUAAUAAAACAAAUGGAUUUUAAGAAGAUAUUUGCUGAUUCCUGUGUAUGAUCUUAAUUGUAUAUGAAACAAUACAUGAACAACACUGACGCAUAUGAAAGGUAGCUAAUACAAGUAUUCAUGCACAAAUUAAAGUAUGAAUUUCUUUAUAAUUUUUAGUCAUUAUCAAAAAUUCAUUUCCAAACAUAUUUAAGCAUAUCGAUAUUGUUAUGCCGUAUAACAAAAUAAAACAAAGGGUUCAUUCAAAAUUUCUAAUUUUACUUUCAAUUUCAGUUUCAUUAUUAUUUUUAUUACAACAAAAGCAUAUAUCCAAAAAAUAUCAUAUACAAUCAAUAAUAAAAUAUUCGUACCUGCAUCUUAUUCUGUAUCAUAAUCUUUUUCUUGUGUAAAUAAUCUAUCUAACCGGAUGUUUUUCGUUUAAAUCUGUAUUCCAAACUGAAACUUGUUUACUUUCGAAUCCGCUAUUUAUACUUUUUCAGGCAUGACGUCACUGACAAGUGACGACCGUUAAAGUAAAAUAUAUACCAAUGAACGUUGAGGGUCGCCCAAAACCACCCGGUGCCUUGCGAUGAAAACCUCCAACGGGACUGUGACCUUGCCCUUGUACACACCUAAUGGUCAGGUAUAAGGUCACUUGGGCUUAGAUAGUCACUGCAGUAAGAACAUGUAAGGUUUAAAAGGACAUCCGAGACUGCAAUGACGAAAUGAGUGUCCUCACUUCAGCAGUGGAGGCCAAUACACAAUACGAGAGUUUCCAGCGGCUUACCUUAUCUGAAAACCUGGGUUGCAGAGCAAUGAGUAUGUCCCAGGAGCAUUUGCAGUCAUCUUCUCCAGAUUAUGAGAUCCCCAUGCUCCACAACCCUCAGUCUAUGAACAGCAUGCAGAGCGAACCUUGGACGUACCUUGACGAAAUCAAACCAGCAAAUCAGAAGGACAGCCUGCUGCUACCGUUGUUAUCAUAUUAACCCCAUACCGAAAAAGCUCAGAGAUAUAAAGGCUGUUUAAGAUGUGCUUGUCUCUACAUACCCCGUGUCUGGUGUGAACAUGUACAAUUGAAUGUCUCUACAUACUCCAUGUCUGCUGUGAACAUGUACAAUUGAAGGUCUCUACAUACUCCAUGUCUGGUGUGAACAUGUACAAUUGAAGAUCUCUACAUACUCCAUGUCUGGUGUGAACAUGUACAAUUGAAGGUCUCUACAUACCUCAUGUCUGGUGUGAACAUGUACAAUUGAAGGUCUCUACAUACCUCAUGUCUGGUGUGAACAUAUACAAUUGAAGGUCUCUACAUACUCCAUGUCUGGUGUGAACAUGUACAAUUGCAGGUCUCUGCAUGCCCCAUGUUGGGUGUGAACAUGUACAAUUGAAGGUCUCUACAUACUCCAUGUCUGGUGUGAACAUGUACAAUUGAAGGUCUCUGCAUACCCCAUGUUGGGUGUGAACAUGUACAAUUGAAGGUCUCUACAUACCCCAUGUUGGGUGUGAACAUGUACAAUUGAAGGUCUCUGCAUACCCCAUGUUGGGUGUGAACAUGUACAAUUGAAGGUCUCUACAUACCCCAUGUCUGGUGAAAAUAUGUACAAUUGAAGGUCUCUACAUACCUCAUGUCUGGUGUGAACGUGUACAAUUAAAGGUCUCUACAUACCCCAUGUCUGGUGUGAACAUGUACAAUUGAAUGUCUCAUCUUUGGAAUUGGGACACGUGGAAAAUUAGUGAUUUGAUUCAGACAGAAAUCGCAUAGUGACAAAUCACAACAAAAAAUGGAAAGCAAGAAAGUCUUGUGGCCAGCAAUGUUUUUAUGUGACCACUAAGUUGUGUUCAAAGAAAAACAAUCGUUCAUGUUUUAUUGGAACUAUGAUGCUGUCAGUCAUUUUAUGUUGAAGGCUUUAAAUAACUAUAUUUAAAUAUAAUAAGAUUAAGAUUACUUGAUAAAAGAAAUAAUGUUAUAUAGUAUUUUAAGCGCAAAAUUUACAAGUCUAUCCAAUUACUGUGUCUGUUUUAUGACAUUUUAUUUUGGAAAUGUUAAGGAAAAUAUAAUGUUAGUAAAUAUAUGUCUAUGAAUGUUGAUUUUGACAUUUGUCAAAGCUGUUUAAAUGAUGCUGGUAACUUCGACAAAAUUUAAAGAAAUGUAUUAUUUUCAUGUAAUGAGACAUGCUUCAGUUUUUUGUGGCUUAACCUGUAAUAUAGAGGUGGUAGUUACAAGAAUUGUUUAGCCAGAUGGAGAAUGUUUAUGCUAUGGCUUUGAUACUCUUAAGUGUGCCCAUUGGUGUCAGGUUUUUAUCAAGAAUAUUGUUUAUUGUCUAACAAUUUCUUGAAAAUAUUGAUUAAUUUUAGACAAAAUCAUUUAAUCUUCCUUAAAUUGUCUAUUCUGUAUUCACGACCAGUUAUUUAUUAAUUUGCAUGAAUAUGAUUUAUGAAUGACUUUUGUGUUGCUUAAAAUGCUUUAUUUGUUUUGGAACUGAGUAUUUAAAAA
RNA transcript from Dreissena polymorpha, 5495 nucleotides. RefSeq lists it as uncharacterized. The transcript has 10 exons. The record is from RefSeq and is a predicted model, not a curated record. Lineage: Eukaryota; Metazoa; Mollusca; Bivalvia; Myida; Dreissenidae.